This 24-nucleotide non-coding RNA is filed under the name Arabidopsis thaliana (thale cress). The record is from RNAcentral. Lineage: Eukaryota; Viridiplantae; Streptophyta; Magnoliopsida; Brassicales; Brassicaceae.
CACCGAACGGGAUUAGAUGGUAUG